ACCCUGUGACAUACCUAUAACGUUGCCUCGGCGGGAACAGACGGCCCCGUAACACGGGCCGCCCCCGCCAGAGGACCCCCUAACUCUGUUUCUAUAAUGUUUCUUCUGAGUAAACAAGCAAAUAAAUUAAAACUUUCAACAACGGAUCUCUUGGCUCUGGCAUCGAUGAAGAACGCAGCGAAAUGCGAUAAGUAAUGUGAAUUGCAGAAUUCAGUGAAUCAUCGAAUCUUUGAACGCACAUUGCGCCCGCCAGUAUUCUGGCGGGCAUGCCUGUUCGAGCGUCAUUACAACCCUCAGGCCCCCGGGCCUGGCGUUGGGGAUCGGCGGAAGCCCCCUGCGGGCACAACGCCGUCCCCCAAAUACAGUGGCGGUCCCGCCGCAGCUUCCAUUGCGUAGUAGCUAACACCUCGCAACUGGAGAGCGGCGCGGCCACGCCGUAAAACACCCAACUUCUGAAUGUUGACCUCGAAUCAGGUAGGAAUACCCGCUGAACUUAAGCA
RNAcentral lists this ribosomal RNA (500 nucleotides) under Fusarium oxysporum f. sp. lycopersici. RNAcentral describes it as "eukaryotic LSU rRNA". The stretch from base 131 to 284 matches the Rfam family "5.8S ribosomal RNA". Lineage: Eukaryota; Fungi; Ascomycota; Sordariomycetes; Hypocreales; Nectriaceae. The record is from RNAcentral.